This 393-nucleotide ribosomal RNA is filed under the name uncultured bacterium. RNAcentral's name for it is "bacterial SSU rRNA". It matches the Rfam family "Bacterial small subunit ribosomal RNA", at positions 364 to 774 of the family's 1533-position model. The record is from RNAcentral.
UUGGACAAUGGGCGCAAGCCUGAUCCAGCCAUGCCGCGUGAGUGAUGAAGGCCCUAGGGUUGUAAAGCUCUUUUGUGCGGGAAGAUAAUGACGGUACCGCAAGAAUAAGCCCCGGCUCACUUCGUGCCAGCAGCCGCGGUAAUACGAAGGGGGCUAGCGUUGCUCGGAAUCACUGGGCGUGCAGGGUGCGUAGGCGGGUCUUUAAGUCAGGGGUGAAAUCCUGGAGCUCAACUCCAGAACUGCCUUUGAUACUGAGGAUCUUGAGUUCGGGAGAGGUUAGUGGAACUGCGAGUGUAGAGGUGAAAUUCGUAGAUAUUCGCAAGAACACCAGUGGCGAAGGCGGCUCACUGGCCCGAUACUGACGCUGAGGCACGAAAGCGUGGGGAGCAAACA